Phacochoerus africanus (Common warthog) is the source of this 2810-nucleotide RNA transcript. It is a transcript of the gene named inducible T cell costimulator, with no coding region annotated. NCBI's taxonomy places the organism in Eukaryota, Metazoa, Chordata, Mammalia, Artiodactyla, Suidae. The record is from RefSeq and is a predicted model, not a curated record. The transcript has 5 exons.
UCCAGAAAAUAGAAAACAGCUGAGAAUAUGAAUUCUUUGUCAGCUUUGAACACUGAAGGAGAGAAUCGAAUUUGUUUCUGGCAAACAUGAAGUCAGAUCUCUGGUAUUUCUUUCUCUUCUGCUUCCAAGUUGAAGUUCUAAUGGGAGAAGUCAAUGACUCUGCCAAGUCUGAGAUGUUUAUGUUUCAUGAUGGAGGUCUACAGAUUGUAUGCAAAUAUCCUGAUACUGUCCGACAAUUUAAGAUGCAGUUGCUGAAAGGGAAGAAUAUACUCUGUGACCUUACGAAGACAAAGGGAAGUGGAAACACGGUGUCCAUUACCAACGUGAAUUUAUGCCAGUUUCAGUUAUCCAAUAACAGUGUCUCUUUUUUUCUGUAUAACUUGGACAGUUCUUAUGCCAGCUAUUACAUCUGUGAAUUAUCAAUUUUUGAUCCUCCACCUUUUCAAGUAGAUAUUCUAAGCAAAGAAUAUUUGAAUAUUUAUGAAUCACAGCUUUGUUGCCAACUGAAGUUCUGGUUACUUCUAGGAUGUGCAGCCUUUGUUGUAGUCUACAUUAUUGGAUGUGUUCUUACAUGUUGGCUUACAAAAAAGCCUCAAGUUAGGAGCUGAAGUCACCUUAUAACACUGUCAUAUACUGUUUCAACGAGGAAAUAGAAAACAGUAAAAACAAAUACCCUCUUCCCCAGGAAUGGAUAUGGGGAAGGACAGAUGCCAAACCACGUUUCUGACUUUUCUUGCAGAAAUAUCGCCCCAGCGUGCAUGACCCUAAUAGUGAAUACAUGUUCAUGGCAGCAGUGAACGCCACUAAAAAGGCUGGACCAACAGAUGUGACCCGCAAUUUGGUACACUCUGGCACACGGGCAUGAACCAAGUUGGCCAGUUCUCUCCAACUCGAAGUGCAAGAUUCCCUUAUUUCCUGGACUUGAUUUGACUCCAUCUUCUGCUGGCAUUUUGUUCAGUCUCAACCCGUGACUCUAUCCAUCAACACGGAUUUUAACAGUCAGCCUCAGUACUGCUGAGUUCUCUCAAAUACCCUCCUGCAAGUAGACUUAGAGAAAGCCCAGCUCAUGUGUGCUCAACAAACAGACCUCACUGGGAUGGAAUUCCUGUCUUCAUAUCUGCUUCUAGCAAUGCACCAGCCAGUAAAAUGAACACGUCUACAAAAAUGUUUUCAAGAUGCCAAGGGUACCGAAUCUGUAAAGCAAAUGGGCCACCAAGGGCCAGAAUCUGUCUUCAUUUCAAUAACAAACUACCUCUCCUUCUCGUAGGGAUGAUCUCUCCUUUUCAAAUCAGAUGAUAGGAGGAGAUGCUUCCAAACUGUAGUCAGUUUAUUUCUGAGGUGUGGUUGUGUAACCAUAGCGUAUCAUUGCACUAGUGCACAGCGCUCUUCCCCAACUUCUGAAGUCCACUUGGCCCCUCCACCAGGAGUUUAGAUGCCUUUGCGUGCUCUCAAUUUUCCUUUUUCAAAAUACUUCCACAUAACUACUUGACAGACACCCUGAGUUAGGAGCUAUGCCUACUGUUUUUCCUUUUGUGACUCAGUUAUCUAUAGAGUUGCAGCCUAAUGACCAUAACUUCCCUCUAUUCUCCCUGAACAAGCAUAUUUUUGCUCCAGAAAGGUAUCUUAUUUUUCCCCAGUUCAGUUGAAAUGGUUUUCUUUGCUGACUUGUUGACAUCAGUGGUAGGAGACAUUGCUCAGAAUCAAAAGCGAAUUCAUUUUAUGAUACUUUUCCAUCAUUAUCUAUGUUUACAUGGUGCUAUUAAUUACGAGUUAGGCUAUUUUUGUAGAUGUUCAAAUUGCAAACAAACAAAGAAGUCCAUCUUUCCCUGUCAAGCCUUGACCUGGGUUGGGUAAAGCCCAUGAUCCUUUCAGCUUGAAGGCUGCAGUUCCUGGAAGUCACUGCCAAAUUAGAGCCAUGCUGCCUCUGGGCCUGACAGGUUGAAAUGGCCCCCAUCAGCCUGGAGCAGCCAUCCGGUCCUGGAUGGAAUUCCCAGAGUUGGGAGACUCUGCUAAGCCAAGAUAACCAGGUGCUCUCGCACCCAGAGGCUGAAGUUGCUGGGGACCAGAACGGGUCUGCCUGCUGUUUGGACCUCCAGGAUCUAUGAAAAAGCCCAGAUGUGUCAGAAAACAUCUGUAUAAUUCCCUUUCCUAGAAGCCACUCAGCCUGGAAACUGGUCCUGGCCCCUUAAGACAGUCUUCAUUUGAAUUUGAUUUGGUCAGAAAGAUUCUUAAGUAUAUGUAACAUGUAAUUACUCCUAGCUGAAAUAUUCUCUCCCCUUCCUAUUCUGCAUGCCCAAGGCUUUGGAAGCAGCCAAUGUGAAUGCGAUAACAUUUUCGAGUUUGAUUAAAUGGGAUUAUGUAGUAGUUUUAAAAUUUGUAGUUGUCCGCUUAUAGUUUACUUUAAAAAUAAGACCUGAUGUGUCAUUAUGCAUACUUAUAUUAUUUUAAGCAUGUGUAAUACCGGAUGUGUACAGUACAGUACUGAAUGUGUAAUUUGAAUCAAGUACGGUGUUCUGUUUUCAGCUGACUUGGACAAACUGGCUGGCUCUGCAGAGGUGUUCUCUGGGUUGUUUGCAGCCUUCUGCAUGGGGUGUCAAGUGGGGAAGAACAGCCCUCACAUGGCCCACCUCUCCUGGUUGUCCAAGUUGUGCCCUGAAGCAUCCUUAUUCUUAGCACUGGACAUUUCAGAGUGAAUUACUAAAGGAUACAAUUUCUAUGAAAUAAAGACUGAUUUUAAGAAAAGUUGAUUAUAAAAUAGAUUUUAGCCAUGGUAAGAAGCUAAAGAAUAAAUAUUUGCUAUUCAGCAACCA